AGGAAGAGCUAACUGGGAAUUGUGUGGGCUUUUGAAACCUCACGGCCCACCUCCUCCAUCAAAGCCACGCCUCCUAACCUUCCCCAAACAGUUGCGCCAACUGGAACUGGGUGUUCAAAGAUUUGCUAAAAGCCCAGGACAGUGUGAACUCACCGAGGAGGUAGUAUUAACAGGUAACAGAUUGGAAGAAUCUACGGUGUUAUAGAAAAGCGAUGGCUCUCACGCUGCCUUUGUUCCGGAGGGUCCGGCCCCC
Molecule: long non-coding RNA, 253 nt
Organism: Mus musculus (house mouse)
Lineage: Eukaryota; Metazoa; Chordata; Mammalia; Rodentia; Muridae
Product: predicted gene, 40102
Exons: 3
Source: RefSeq, a predicted model, not a curated record